RNAcentral lists this ribosomal RNA (356 nucleotides) under uncultured bacterium. RNAcentral describes it as "partial 16S ribosomal RNA". It matches the Rfam family "Bacterial small subunit ribosomal RNA", at positions 338 to 710 of the family's 1533-position model. The record is from RNAcentral.
CCUACGGGUGGCAGCAGUGGGGAAUAUUGGGCAAUGGGCGCAAGCCUGACCCAGCAACGCCGCGUGAGCGAUGAAGGUCUUCGGAUUGUAAAGCUCUGUCGCAGGGGACGAAGAAUGACGGUACCCUGUAUGAAAGCCUCGGCAAACUACGUGCCAGCAGCCGCGGUAAUACGUAGGGGGCUAGCGUUGUCCGGAAUUACUGGGCGUAAGGGGAGUGUAGACGGCUUGUCAAGUUAAGUGUGAAAGCCUGCUGCUUAACCUUAGAAUUGCACUUAAAACUGACUCGCUAGAGUGCAGGAGAGGUGAGUAGAAUUCCUAGUGUAGCGGUGGAAUGCGUAGAUAUUAGGAGGAACACC